UUUUUUUUUUUUUUUCUCUUUUUUCUCUCUUAACUAAGAUGUAGCAAUUCUUGUAUUUCUAGUUUCUUUGUUACAUGUCAGUACAUUCCAUCUGGCAACCAUGACUUCUAAUGAGGAUGCAUCUUAUUUUGGUUCUGUAGCACUGUAGACCAACUAAUACCCUAGGCUUGACCCAUAUUCUCCCACUAGAUUAAUGCUGCUUUCACUGCUGCCCCUUCCUCAUUCCUUUCAAGACAGGGUUUUAUCUGGUACCCUGAAUGGCUUGGGGCCUUGAACUUGUAUACCCUAGCCUCUGCCUCCGUAAUGCUGGGAUCCCAAACCUGAAUUAUCCUGCCUGGCUAGCUCAUCUUCUAUGUUUUAAGGGAAGAUGAUUUUCCUUUAUGCUUUGGUUCCUUUACCUUCUUAUUCUUUGUAAAGUUCAAUAUAAUCUGCGUAUAAUCACUGAAAUUGGUUUUCUCUCUGUUAACUUUCAAUGUUGAGGCUCUAUGAAUUUUAUGUUUAUUUGGUAAUGAAGAGUAAAUUUUCAUGUUACUUCAGUUAACUACCACCUUUCUUAAUGUAGUAAAAUUUUCUUUCUCAAUUGAGCAAUGGUCUUUGGGUAAAUUUAUACUUCUAUUUUUGCUAUAAUGCAAAUCAUUUCAUCCAAACUACUAACUAGAUAUGUGUCAGCUCCUGCCAGAUGGCCCCCACAUCCCAACUUUGCUUUAGGAGUAGACAUGAGCAGUGUGUCCCUAAGCACAGCUUGCCGUUCAUAAGCACAUACUCACAACUCACAGUGCUGGUCUGAGUUCUCUUCAUCAGAUUAGGCACCUAGAUUGCCUGUCUCUGAAGCCUGUCUCAGGAUUUCUGGUUUACUCUUACACACCUUAGCCUAGAAGUGGAGGAGUGAUGUGACUUGCUUGUAUAAUUACAAACUUUUUGAUCUUCCAGUUUCUGAUCUCUCAGAUAAGCCUCCAUAUUUACAUUUAAUCUGAAGUAAUUUUUUUUAUAUUGUAUUUGUAUGAUUACACUAUUCCUCCCUUCAGACACACCAGAGGAGGGCACUGAAUCCCAUUACAGAUGGCUGUGAGCCACCAUGUGGUUGCUGGGAAUUGCUCAGGACUUCUGGAAGAGCAGUCAGUGCUCUUACCCACUGAGCCAUCUCCCCAACCCCUGUAGUAAAUUUUUAUCACUUUUCUGUUUUAUCUUUAAUUAAAUCCUGAAAGAACUGCCUAUUUUUGUUUAAUACAGAAUAUCAUCUAAUGUUCCAGUUUCAGAAUUUAAAAAAAUUUUAAACCAUAUAUGUACUGGGUGUCUAAAACAUGUUUUCAAAGUUAUGUUUGAAUACAAUAGAAACAUUGACCUAAAAUUCAUAGCGUUAUCUCAUUAUUUAGCCUUUCCCUUUGAGUAACUGCAUUUAGAAGUUAAAAUAUUCUGAUUGUCUACUUUUUUUUUUUGACCUAUUUCACCUAGUCUAAGAGUGUUUUAUGAUACAUCUCUGGAAUUUUUGAUCAGUCUAGACUACUUAUAUUUUAGAAGAAGAAAUGGCUCUGGAGUGAUCAAAGGGAAUGCUCUGUUCUAACGCCUUACACCUGGAGCAGUUGUUAGCACCGUCAGCAGCACAGCUGUAUUUAGACAUAUCAGAGCAGGAUGUGGCAGAUGGUGAUGCAACAGAGGUCCUGUCAGAUCCUGUCCGGGAGGAUGAGAUGCCUGGCAAUGCCAAGUCAAGGAGUAAUGAGUCUUAAGAAGCAUGAAUCCUACUAAGUAUAUAACUGACUUUUCCAAUUGUGAGUUCUUGUAGUCAUACAUUUCUCAGAAUGAAUUAACAAUCCAUUCAAUGACCCUUUUCCUUGUUGAAGUGGAUUAUUAAAUUUUAGUAGUUAAAAUCAUGAAAGCAGUUGUCCUUUCUCAAAUUUUUGUUUGGAAACAUGCUUUUUACUUUGUGUCAGAUUUAAUCUAAAAUAACUCUAGUAUUUCAUCUCCUCCUUUCCCCCUGCUUAACCCCUAGACCUGACUUUGAGAAACCUUCACAGAAGACACAUUUUAGAACAUGUCUCAGCAACUGGGUUUGUACUAUGAAGUUUUCUGGUGUAGAACAGCAUGUCACAGUCCAUCCAUACAGAAUGGCACACAUCUACCUUUUCUGGGCCUUGAAGUCAUAGCACCCCAAUAUGUGACAUUACAUAUGAAUACCAUUUCAAUGUGUAUCCCUGCUACCUCAGUUCAAAGAGGAGAGCUUUAGAAAGGAGUAAUGGAAGUGACCUUCUGUUUGUCACCGGUGGGUCUUACAUUUUGUCAUUCUGUUUUGCAAUUGUAAUUCGGGUGCGUUAAAGGAAGCAAACAAACAAGAAAACCAGACUUUGGGUUGUAAUUUCAUUUAUUUAAAAAUAAAAUUAAACUCAUUUUUUUCCUGACAAGUCUCAUUUAUCAGUUGGUAAAACAAGGAUAGUCUUUGCCAAUUCAGUUGUGAAGUGUAGUUGUUACCUGCACUGUUUAUAAUGAAGAACUUUUCUUU
This 2494-nucleotide long non-coding RNA is filed under the name Mus musculus (house mouse). Its description in RNAcentral is "long non-coding RNA chr14:21179632-21182126". The record is from RNAcentral. Lineage: Eukaryota; Metazoa; Chordata; Mammalia; Rodentia; Muridae.